GGCCUAGACAUCAUCACCAACAAGGUUUCUGCCCAAGAGCAGAGAAUCUGCCGGCACCACAUGAUCAGCUUUGUGGAUCCUCUUGUGACCAAUUACACAGUGGUGGACUUCAGAAAUAGAGCAACUGCUCUGAUUGAAGAUAUAUUUGCCCGAGACAAAAUUCCUAUUGUUGUGGGAGGAACCAAUUAUUACAUUGAAUCUCUGCUCUGGAAAGUUCUUGUCAAUACCAAGCCCCAGGAGAUGGGCACUGAGAAAGUGAUUGACCGAAAAGUGGAGCUUGAAAAGGAGGAUGGUCUUGUACUUCACAAACGCCUAAGCCAGGUGGACCCAGAAAUGGCCGCCAAGCUGCAUCCACAUGACAAACGCAAAGUGGCCAGGUAAGAAAGCCUGGCCCGCUGACCCCAAAUUCCUUUACAACUAGCGAGCAGUCAGUUCUUCAGUUUGCCCAGAUGAUGAGAGAGAUUUGGUAAUAGCAGUUAGUGGAGAUUGAUGUGUUGUUCUAGCUCAGCAGGUUGGGAGGCCCUGAGUUAUUGCUUCAGUUCAACUCCCU
This 550-nucleotide small RNA is filed under the name Pan troglodytes (chimpanzee). RNAcentral's name for it is "retained intron". The record is from RNAcentral. Lineage: Eukaryota; Metazoa; Chordata; Mammalia; Primates; Hominidae.